This 224-nucleotide ribosomal RNA is filed under the name uncultured Entrophospora. Its description in RNAcentral is "uncultured Claroideoglomus partial 18S ribosomal RNA". The stretch from base 45 to 224 matches the Rfam family "Eukaryotic small subunit ribosomal RNA", at positions 685 to 864 of the family's 1831-position model. Lineage: Eukaryota; Fungi; Glomeromycota; Glomeromycetes; Entrophosporales; Entrophosporaceae. The record is from RNAcentral.
GGAUUGACACAUCGGUCGUGCCUUAAGGGGUAUGAACUGGCGUAGCCAAUUCCUCGUCUUCUGGUGAAUUGUGAUGCCUCUUUAACUGGGUGUUUCAAUGAACUAGGACUUUUACUUUGAAAAAAUUAGAGUGUUUAAAGCAGGCAUUAUUUGCUUGAAUACAUUAGCAUGGAAUAAUAAAAUAGGACGAUGAUUCUAUUUUGUUGGUUUCUAGGAUCACUGUA